RNAcentral lists this ribosomal RNA (301 nucleotides) under uncultured bacterium. RNAcentral describes it as "partial 16S ribosomal RNA". It matches the Rfam family "Bacterial small subunit ribosomal RNA", at positions 509 to 807 of the family's 1533-position model. The record is from RNAcentral.
CAGCCGCCGCGGGAAUACGUAGGGUGCAAGCGUUAAUCGGAAUUACUGGGCGUAAAGCGCGCGCAGGCGGUUUGUUAAGACAGAUGUGAAAUCCCCGGGCUCAACCUGGGAACUGCAUUUGUGACUGGCAAGCUAGAGUCUGGCAGAGGGGGGUGGAAUUCCGCGUGUAGCAGUGAAAUGCGUAGAUAUGCGGAGGAACACCGAUGGCGAAGGCAGCCAUCUGGGACAACACUGACGCUGAGGCACGAAAGCGUGGGGAGCAAACAGGAUUAGAUACCCCAGUAGUCCCUGUCUCUUAUAC